GGGGGGGGGGGGGGGGGGGGGGGGGGGGGGGGGGGCGGGCGAAGAGAGGAGGGGGUUGCUCCUCUGGCGUUAGCGGCGGACGGGUGAGUAACACGUGGAUAACCUACCUAUAAGACUGGGAUAACUUCGGGAAACCGGAGCUAAUACCGGAUAAUAUAUUGAACCGCAUGGUUCAAUAGUGAAAGACGGUUUUGCUGUCACUUAUAGAUGGAUCCGCGCCGCAUUAGCUAGUUGGUAAGGUACCGGCUUACCAAGGCAACGAUGCGUAGCCGACCUGAGAGGGUGAUCGGCCACACUGGAACUGAGACACGGUCCAGACUCCUACGGGAGGCAGCAGUAGGGAAUCUUCCGCAAUGGGCGAAAGCCUGACGGAGCAACGCCGCGUGAGUGAUGAAGGUCUUCGGAUCGUAAAACUCUGUUAUUAGGGAAGAACAAAUGUGUAAGUAACUAUGCACGUCUUGACGGUACCUAAUCAGAAAGCCACGGCUAACUACGUG
Molecule: ribosomal RNA, 497 nt
Filed under: uncultured bacterium
Lineage: Bacteria
Description: partial 16S ribosomal RNA
Rfam family: Bacterial small subunit ribosomal RNA
Source: RNAcentral